GGUGGAGCGAUUUGUCUGGUUUAUUCCGAUAACGAACGAGACUCUAGCCUACUAAAUAGUGACUGGAUUGCUUCUGUCCAGAAUACUUCUUAGAGGGACAAGUGGUGUUCAGCCACACGAAAUUGAGCAAUAACAGGUCUGUGAUGCCCUUAGAUGUCCGGGGCUGCACGCGCGCUACACUGGAGAAAUCAGCGUGCUAUACCAUUGUCGAAAGUCAUUGGUAAACCGAUCAAAAUUCUCCGUGAUCGGGAUCGGGAAUUGCAAUUAUUUCCCUUGAACGAGGAAUUCCCAGUAAGUGUGGGUCAUCAGCUCACGCUGAAUACGUCCCUGCCCUUUGUAC
This 340-nucleotide ribosomal RNA is filed under the name Nematoda environmental sample. RNAcentral's name for it is "SSU rRNA". It matches the Rfam family "Eukaryotic small subunit ribosomal RNA", at positions 1300 to 1665 of the family's 1831-position model. Lineage: Eukaryota; Metazoa; Nematoda. The record is from RNAcentral.